GUAGUCAUAUGCUUGUCUCAAAGAUUAAGCCAUGCAUGUCUAAGUAUAAGCAAUUACAAAGCGAAACUGCGAAUGGCUCAUUAUAUAAGUUAUCGUUUAUUUGAUAGUACCUUACUACAUGGAUAACCGUGGUAAUUCUAGAGCUAAUACAUGCUGAAAAUCCCGACUUCGGAAGGGAUGUAUUUAUUAGAUACAAAACCAAUGCCCUUCGGGGCUCUCUUGGUGAUUCAUGAUAACUUCUCGAAUCGCACGGCCCCGCGCCGGCGAUGGUUCAUUCAAAUUUCUUCCCUAUCAACUUUCGAUGCUACGGUAUUGUCCUAGCAUGGUUGCAACGGGUGACGGAGGGUUAGGGCUCGACCCCGGAGAAGGAGCCUGAGAAACGGCUACUACAUCCAAGGAAGGCAGCAGGCGCGCAAAUUACCCAAUCCCGACUCGGGGAGGUAGUGACGAUAAAUACCGAUACAGGGCUCUUUUGGGUCCUGUAAUUGGAAUGAGUACAAUUCAAAUCCCUUAACGAGGAACAAUUGGAGGGCAAGUCUGGUGCCAGCAGCCGCGGUAAUUCCAGCUCCAAUAGCGUAUA
This 580-nucleotide ribosomal RNA is filed under the name uncultured fungus. Its description in RNAcentral is "SSU rRNA". It matches the Rfam family "Eukaryotic small subunit ribosomal RNA", at positions 20 to 603 of the family's 1831-position model. Lineage: Eukaryota; Fungi. The record is from RNAcentral.